RNAcentral lists this transfer RNA (72 nucleotides) under Camelus bactrianus (Bactrian camel). It matches the Rfam family "tRNA". Rfam says of the family: Transfer RNA (tRNA) molecules are approximately 80 nucleotides in length. The record is from Rfam by way of RNAcentral. RNAcentral also lists the same sequence under 2 other names. Lineage: Eukaryota; Metazoa; Chordata; Mammalia; Artiodactyla; Camelidae.
GAGGGGAUAACUCAGUAGUAGAGUGCCUGCCUAGCAUGCACAAGGUCCUGGGUUCAAUCCCCAGUACUUCCA